RNAcentral lists this unclassified non-coding RNA (22 nucleotides) under Chlamydomonas reinhardtii. Its description in RNAcentral is "small RNA Cre_3870". Lineage: Eukaryota; Viridiplantae; Chlorophyta; Chlorophyceae; Chlamydomonadales; Chlamydomonadaceae. The record is from RNAcentral.
UUGAAGAGGGUGUUGAGACUGG